AGCACAGAGAGCUUGCUCUCGGGUGACGAGCGGCGGACGGGUGAGUAAUGUCUGGGAAACUGCCUGAUGGAGGGGGAUAACUACUGGAAACGGUAGCUAAUACCGCAUAACGUCGCAAGACCAAAGUGGGGGACCUUCGGGCCUCAUGCCAUCAGAUGUGCCCAGAUGGGAUUAGCUGGUAGGUGGGGUAACGGCUCACCUAGGCGACGAUCCCUAGCUGGUCUGAGAGGAUGACCAGCCACACUGGAACUGAGACACGGUCCAGACUCCUACGGGAGGCAGCAGUGGGGAAUAUUGCACAAUGGGCGCAAGCCUGAUGCAGCCAUGCCGCGUGUGUGAAGAAGGCCUUCGGGUUGUAAAGCACUUUCAGCGGGGAGGAAGGCGGUGAGGUUAAUAACCUCAUCGAUUGACGUUACCCGCAGAAGAAGCACCGGCUAACUCCGUGCCAGCAGCCGCGGUAAUACGGAGGGUGCAAGCGUUAAUCGGAAUUACUGGGCGUAAAGCGCACGCAGGCGGUCUGUCAAGUCGGAUGUGAAAUCCCCGGGCUCAACCUGGGAACUGCAUUCGAAACUGGCAGGCUAGAGUCUUGUAGAGGGGGGUAGAAUUCCAGGUGUAGCGGUGAAAUGCGUAGAGAUCUGGAGGAAUACCGGUGGCGAAGGCGGCCCCCUGGACAAAGACUGACGCUCAGGUGCGAAAGCGUGGGGAGCAAACAGGAUUAGAUACCCUGGUAGUCCACGCUGUAAACGAUGUCGAUUUGGAGGUUGUGCCCUUGAGGCGUGGCUUCCGGAGCUAACGCGUUAAAUCGACCGCCUGGGGAGUACGGCCGCAAGGUUAAAACUCAAAUGAAUUGACGGGGGCCCGCACAAGCGGUGGAGCAUGUGGUUUAAUUCGAUGCAACGCGAAGAACCUUACCUGGUCUUGACAUCCACAGAACUUUCCAGAGAUGGAUUGGUGCCUUCGGGAACUGUGAGACAGGUGCUGCAUGGCUGUCGUCAGCUCGUGUUGUGAAAUGUUGGGUUAAGUCCCGCAACGAGCGCAACCCUUAUCCUUUGUUGCCAGCGGUUAGGCCGGGAACUCAAAGGAGACUGCCAGUGAUAAACUGGAGGAAGGUGGGGAUGACGUCAAGUCAUCAUGGCCCUUACGACCAGGGCUACACACGUGCUACAAUGGCAUAUACAAAGAGAAGCGACCUCGCGAGAGCAAGCGGACCUCAUAAAGUAUGUCGUAGUCCGGAUUGGAGUCUGCAACUCGACUCCAUGAAGUCGGAAUCGCUAGUAAUCGUAGAUCAGAAUGCUACGGUGAAUACGUUCCCGGGCCUUGUACACACCGCCCGUCACACCAUGGGAGUGGGUUGCAAAAGAAGUAGGUAGCUUA
RNAcentral lists this ribosomal RNA (1374 nucleotides) under Klebsiella sp. Its description in RNAcentral is "bacterial SSU rRNA". It matches the Rfam family "Bacterial small subunit ribosomal RNA", at positions 68 to 1437 of the family's 1533-position model. The record is from RNAcentral. Lineage: Bacteria; Pseudomonadati; Pseudomonadota; Gammaproteobacteria; Enterobacterales; Enterobacteriaceae.